UGGCACCGGGGAAUACUAAAGACCAGGGAAUUUGAUCAUGGAUUGAUAUUAAUUACACAAACACACAUAAAUAUAUAUAUAUAUAUAUAUGUGUGUGUGUGUGUGUGUGUGUGUGUGUGUGUGUGUGUAAUUAAUAUCAAGGGUGCACUCAUAGGUUUUGCAAAUAUCAA
Non-coding RNA from Pelobates cultripes (western spadefoot toad), 170 nucleotides. NCBI's taxonomy places the organism in Eukaryota, Metazoa, Chordata, Amphibia, Anura, Pelobatidae. The record is from the annotation of a GenBank genome assembly.